Molecule: ribosomal RNA, 446 nt
Filed under: uncultured bacterium
Lineage: Bacteria
Description: partial 16S ribosomal RNA
Rfam family: Bacterial small subunit ribosomal RNA
Source: RNAcentral
CCUACGGGAGGCUGCAGUCGAGAAUCAUUCACAAUGGGGGAAACCCUGAUGGUGCGACGCCGCGUGGGGGAAUGAAGGUCUUCGGAUUGUAAACCCCUGUCAUGUGGGAGCAAAUUAAAAAGAUAGUACCACAAGAGGAAGAGACGGCUAACUCUGUGCCAGCAGCCGCGGUAAUACAGAGGUCUCAAGCGUUGUUCGGAAUCACUGGGCGUAAAGCGUGCGUAGGCUGUUUCGUAAGUCGUGUGUGAAAGGCGCGGACUCAACCCGCGGACGGCACAUGAUACUGCGAGACUAGAGUAAUGGAGGGGGAACCGGAAUUCUCGGUGUAGCAGUGAAAUGCGUAGAUAUCGAGAGGAACACUCGUGGCGAAGGCGGGUUCCUGGACAUUAACUGACGCUGAGGCACGAAGGCCAGGGGAGCGAAAGGGAUUAGAUACCCGAGUAGUC